GGGAUGUAGAAAUUGGAGGCACCCCUCCUUCUACUGCUAGGACUCCUCCUCCCACAACCAUUUUGGCUACUAUUCUUGAGGAGGUUCCUAUUGUGGAGGAGCCAUCCGUGGCUACAGACGGUUCUGCUCAACUUCCUCCCGAAGUCUGUAGUCAGAACGUUCAUACUUUAGAGGACUCCCCUUUGAGUUACCCUCCUGAGACGGAGGAGAAGUACACCUUUCCUUCUCCUCUUGAGGAGAAAAGCGCCCCAUCCUUUUAUCGGGAGAUGGAUGGCUCUUGGCGCCAGUGGUCCGUUCUCGUUCGCAACGGUUUCCAUGUUGUCCCUAUUCUCGACCGGGGCGAGUACGGGACUGGUUAUGGUUCCUUCUGUGCAGUUUCCCUGACCGACAUUCCGGGUUACCCUCUCUCCUCUAACGCGGGCAGAUGCUCUAACACCCUUUCCCUGGAUGCCGCCCAAAGAAUUUUGAGGGGGUUAGAGCUUAGAGAGAGAGUGUACUGGGCGU
Molecule: long non-coding RNA, 504 nt
Filed under: Zostera marina
Lineage: Eukaryota; Viridiplantae; Streptophyta; Magnoliopsida; Alismatales; Zosteraceae
Description: long non-coding RNA (ZMAR_LNC000036)
Source: RNAcentral